GUGCCAGCAGCCGCGGUAAUACGUAGGGUGCGAGCGUUGUCCGGAAUUACUGGGCGUAAAGAGCUCGUAGGUGGUUUGUCGCGUUGUUCGUGAAAACUCACAGCUUAACUGUGGGCGUGCGGGCGAUACGGGCAGACUGGAGUACUGCAGGGGAGACUGGAAUUCCUGGUGUAGCGGUGGAAUGCGCAGAUAUCAGGAGGAACACCGGUGGCGAAGGCGGGUCUCUGGGCAGUAACUGACGCUGAGGAGCGAAAGCGUGGGGAGCGAACAGGAUUAGAUACCCUGGUAGUCCACGCCGUAAACGGUGGGUACUAGGUGUGGGUUUCCUUCCUUGGGAUCCGUGCCGUAGCUAACGCAUUAAGUACCCCGCCUGGGGAGUACGGCCGCAAGGCUAAAACUCAAAGGAAUUGACGGGGGCCCGCACAAGCGGCGGAGCAUGUGGAUUAAUUCGAUGCAACGCGAAGAACCUUACCUGGGUUUGACAUGCACAGGACGCGUCUAAGAUAGGCGUUCCCUUGUGGCCUGU
RNAcentral lists this ribosomal RNA (526 nucleotides) under uncultured organism. Its description in RNAcentral is "SSU rRNA". It matches the Rfam family "Bacterial small subunit ribosomal RNA", at positions 505 to 1031 of the family's 1533-position model. The record is from RNAcentral.